AUGCACCAGAUACAAGCCUGACAGUCCAUCUUUCCCCAGAUGUGAUUUUCACACUGGGGGAUUUUUAAUGACUGCACGGCGUCAAACGGUGUAAGAGUGACAUUAGCCCUGAGAUUUAAGCUUUGCAGUGGGGAGCAUCACUGUUGAGUUAUGGCUCAGAGGCACAAAU
This is a non-coding RNA of Solea solea (common sole), 169 nucleotides long. RefSeq annotates it as small Cajal body-specific RNA 1. The transcript has a single exon. Lineage: Eukaryota; Metazoa; Chordata; Actinopteri; Pleuronectiformes; Soleidae. The record is from RefSeq and is a predicted model, not a curated record.